Long non-coding RNA from Homo sapiens (human), 1628 nucleotides. RefSeq lists it as uncharacterized. The transcript is spliced from 2 exons. The record is from RefSeq and is a predicted model, not a curated record. NCBI's taxonomy places the organism in Eukaryota, Metazoa, Chordata, Mammalia, Primates, Hominidae.
AGGAAGGAAAGAAGGUAGGAAGAAAGGAAGAAAAGCUUGCUACUAAUAUUUUGGUUAAUGAAGGCAUUCAAGUAUUUGAUGAGUGUUAACUAUUUGAAAGUCACCCUACAUAUCAAUUAGAAAAUUGGGAAUAGGAUAUUUGUGUAGUUGUCUUAUUUUCUUUCUUUCUUUUUUUUUUUUUAGGUGGAGUCUCGCUAUGUUGCCCAGGCUGGAGAGCAGUGGUGCAAUCCUGGCUUACUGCAACCUCUGCCUCCUGGCUUCAAGCAAUUCUCCUGCCUCAGCCUCCCAAGUAGCUGGGACUACAGGCUCUGCAGUACCUACCUACCAUGUUACUGUCUUGGUUGUUGGUCUCUCCAGUUGGUAAUACAAGCAUUUCCCACACAUGUACAGAAAGCAAAAAGGACAACAAUAUGAAAUGAAGUGACAACAUCUGUGCCAAUGUAUGGCAUUUACCUGUCACAGUUAGUGUGGCUGUACAGCUGACACUGCCAUACUCAUUGGAAGCUUUGCAUGUAUACUCGCCGCAGUCAACCACCUGGGUUCUCAGGAUUUCAAGGCUGGAGAUAUACUUUGAAGAUCGAAUAGAACACUUGUCACUCUCAUAAAUUUCUCGGCCAGCUUUAAACCACUGGAACCGGACAUUGGGAGCACUUUGGAUCUCACAGGUGAAUUUGGCUAGGUGGCCCAGUGCUACUUCCAGGGGUUCGAUUUUCCUCUUGAUCACUGGGGCAGCUGCAAAGGGAAGUAGAGUCCAUUAACAUGCCUCCUUAUCAGGCAUAUGACAUUUUUGUUUUUCUUCUAACUUUUGUUGCUGUUAAUGGAGUAAAACAGUUGAAAUUGGUGAGAUGGAUUACAGCAGUUUAAGGCAAGUGACUGGAAAAUGAGAAAGAUCAUUGAAGGCAAAAGAAGACAAUAAGCUUUUUUUAAAAAAAACCUAUUCAAUCAUUGCUUUGCAGUGAAUUGUGAAAAAAUGUGAUGCUAUUGGAUUAUAUGCAUAACAACAUGAUAUAUUCUUUAAAUAUACCAUGCUGAAUGGGAACACUGAAAAUAAUGUGAAGAAACAUGAUAUACUAAAUAAAGUGAUGAAGUGAAACAACAACAAAAAAUAAACAGAAAAAAGAAACAGACAACUAAUCAUGGUUAUUUUAAAUCUAAGGGUGAGACCAGUGAUUUCAGAGUGGCUAGGUGUUCACUGAUACUUUUUAUUACAUAUUAUGAAAGUUAUCUUCAUAUGAAAAUUAACUAAAAGCUUAUCUAUUGGUAUUAUGAAACAUAUGAAAAUAUGUUUUAUUUUUAAAAUAAAUAGUACCAUGGAUAUGAUAGCAUAGCACCCAACAGGGCAGUAAGGGAAAAGGUGAGUUCAUAACCAUGAUUAUGUCUGUGAUUUCAUUCUUACUCUAAAUAAAUUACAUUCUGGAAGUGGCAGAUAAGUGAAAAUUUAAGUGAUGCAAGCUAAAUCAUUACAAUCCAGUGAAUGUUAGCAUUUGAUCUAUUUUAUCCUUAAAAUCCAACCUCUUUUUACUACAGUGAGUUUGGCUGAAGUUGCUGUUUUUCCGCUGUCAUUCAAGGCCUCACAGACAUACUCUCCUUGAUGGUCUUCGGUAUUUACUUUGUCGAUGACUAGCGUA